Molecule: transfer RNA, 71 nt
Filed under: Parcubacteria group bacterium CG2_30_36_38
Lineage: Bacteria
Also listed under: 4 other names
Description: tRNA-Lys
Rfam family: tRNA
About the family: Transfer RNA (tRNA) molecules are approximately 80 nucleotides in length.
Source: RNAcentral
GCCCCCAUAGCUCAGUGGUAGAGCAGCCGCCUUUUAAGCGGUUGAUCUAGGUUCGAUUCCUGGUGGGGGUA